CCUACGGGAGGCAGCAGUGGGGAAUAUUGCACAAUGGGGGAAACCCUGAUGCAGCGACGCCGCGUGAGUGAAGAAGUAUUUCGGUAUGUAAAGCUCUAUCAGCAGGGGAGAAAUAGCGACCUUUGGGUCGCCAGACGGUACCUGAGUAAGAAGCCCCGGCUAACUACGUGCCAGCGGCGGCGGUAAUACGUAGGGGACAAGCGUUAUCCGGAGUUACUGGGUGUAAAGGGAGCGUAGAGGGCAGCGCAAGUGUGAAGGGAAAUACCGGGGCUUAACCCCGGAACUGCUUGUGAAACUGGGCAGCAAGAGUGCAGGAGAGGGAAGGGGAAUUCCUAGUGUAGCGGUGAAAUGCGUAGAUAUUAGGAGGAACACCAGUGGCGAAGGCGGCUUACUGGACUGUAACUGACGUUGAGGCUCGAAAGCGUGGGGAGCAAACAGGAUUAGAUACCCCGAGUAGUC
Molecule: ribosomal RNA, 459 nt
Filed under: uncultured bacterium
Lineage: Bacteria
Description: partial 16S ribosomal RNA
Rfam family: Bacterial small subunit ribosomal RNA
Source: RNAcentral